RNAcentral lists this ribosomal RNA (446 nucleotides) under uncultured bacterium. Its description in RNAcentral is "partial 16S ribosomal RNA". It matches the Rfam family "Bacterial small subunit ribosomal RNA", at positions 338 to 795 of the family's 1533-position model. The record is from RNAcentral.
CCUACGGGAGGCAGCAGUCGAGAAUCAUUCACAAUGGGGGAAACCCUGAUGGUGCGACGCCGCGUGGGGGAAUGAAGGUCUUCGGAUUGUAAACCCCUGUCAUGUGGGAGCAAAUUACAACGAUAGUACCACACGAGGAAGAGACGGCUAACUCUGUGCCAGCAGCCGCGGUAAUACAGAGGUCUCAAGCGUUGUUCGGAAUCACUGGGCGUAAAGCGUGCGUAGGCUGUUUCGUAAGUCGUGUGUGAAAGGCGCGGGCUCAACCCGCGGACGGCACAUGAUACUGCGAGACUAGAGUAAUGGAGGGGGAACCGGAAUUCUCGGGGUAGCAGUGAAAUGCGUAGAUAUCGAGAGGAACACUCGUGGCGAAGGCGGGUUCCUGGACAUUAACUGACGCUGAGGCACGAAGGCCAGGGGAGCGAAAGGGAUUAGAUACCCUUGUAGUC